This 494-nucleotide ribosomal RNA is filed under the name uncultured bacterium. Its description in RNAcentral is "partial 16S ribosomal RNA". It matches the Rfam family "Bacterial small subunit ribosomal RNA", at positions 28 to 507 of the family's 1533-position model. The record is from RNAcentral.
GACGAACGCUGGCGGCGUGCUUAACACAUGCAAGUCGAACGGUGAAGCGCCUUCCUUUUUGGUGGGUGUGGAUGAGUGGCGAACGGGUGAGUAACACGUGAGUAACCUGCCCCCUUCUUCUGGAUAACCGCAUGAAAGUGUGGCUAAUACGGGAUAUUCUGGGUCUGUCGCAUGAUGGGUCUGGGAAAGAUCUUGUUUCGGUGGGGGAUGGGCUCGCGGCCUAUCAGCUUGUUGGUGGGGUGAUGGCCUACCAAGGCGGUGACGGGUAGCCGGCAUGAGAGGGUGGACGGCAACAGUGGGACGGAGACACGGCGCAGACUCCUACGGGAGGCAGCAGGGGGGAAUAGUGCACAAUGGGCGCAAGGCUGAUGCAGCGACGCCGCGGGGGGGAUGGAGGCCGGCGGGUUGUGAACCUCUUUCGCCAGUGAAGCAGGCCUGCCUCGUUUGUGGGUGGGUUGACGGUAGCGUGAGAAGAAGCGCCGGCUAACUACGUG